AGGGAAUCUUCCGCAAUGGACGAAAGUCUGACGGAGCAACGCCGCGUGAGUGAUGAAGGUUUUCGGAUCGUAAAACUCUGUUGUUAGGGAAGAACAAGUACGAGAGUAACUGCUCGUACCUUGACGGUACCUAACCAGAAAGCCACGGCUAACUACGUGCCAGCAGCCGCGGUAAUACGUAGGUGGCAAGCGUUGUCCGGAAUUAUUGGGCGUAAAGCGCGCGCAGGCGGUCUCUUAAGUCUGAUGUGAAAGCCCACGGCUCAACCGUGGAGGGUCAUUGGAAACUGGGAGACUUGAGUGCAGAAGAGAAGAGUGGAAUUCCACGUGUAGCGGUGAAAUGCGUAGAGAUGUGGAGGAACACCAGUGGCGAAGGCGACUCUUUGGUCUGUAACUGACGCUGAGGCGCGAAAGCGUGGGGAGCAAAC
Molecule: ribosomal RNA, 425 nt
Filed under: uncultured bacterium
Lineage: Bacteria
Description: bacterial SSU rRNA
Rfam family: Bacterial small subunit ribosomal RNA
Source: RNAcentral